GUUUCCACUCACACGGUAGGCGGCUGUGCAAUUUCGUCUGGAGUCCCCAGACCCCUCCUCAUCCUUCCCAGGGUUGCUCUGAGGCCAUUCCUUGUCAUCUAGGAGGGGUCUACAUAAAAGCAUUUAUAAACACCUCCAAAUGGGAGCCAGGCGUGCCCACCUUUGGAGCACUUUUCUCUACUGCAAAUUUAUCUACUGCUCGUGAAAUCUCUGGAUUUAACUCUGAUGAAAGACUGGAGGCUGAAGGAGAACUUCAAUAUCAUAUAUUUUAAAGGUUGAUUCACAGUUUGGAGCAAGAAUUAAAGAACCACGAACUUCAAGGUAAAACGGGCAACGGCGUUGGGGCAAGCCUCUCUGCAUCUGCGUGUCCAGCCUCUCCUGCGUGCCAGAAGUUCCCAGGCAGGAGUGUGGUGGGACAUCCGGCUGGGGUAAGGACAGGCACCCUCCCACUGUGUCAGGGCCCAGAGAGUGGGUGGAGAAGCUCUGCAAGAGACCUGUGCAAGGGCGCCUUGCAGGAGCCUGCAGUCCCCACAGGUGUGUUUGUGGAUAACACUUGGGGAGCCCUGGCCUUUUGGGGUCACGGAGGGCUUGGCCUCUCACCUCAGAGCUGCAGAGAAGCCGCUUCUACAUCAGGACAUCAGAAGCUGGAACAGGAUGGCCGGCGAGGGGCCUCUUGUUGGGGUCACAGAGAUGGGUCGCAGAGAUGGCCCGUGUGGAAGGUUGGAUUCUCACCCCACCUCUGCCCCUAGAUGUCCUGGUGACCCUCCCCUCUGUAGUCUUGGUUUUUUGCAAAACAGUUAUGACCUCCUGCCAUACUGGGUACUUUGCUUAUGUAUUGUGUUUACUCUUUACUGUGUGUCUCUCCUGCUAAGGUCUACGAAGAAGGGUCUUUGUGGGUGGGGUUCUUAGAGGCAUCCCAAGUACCAGAAGCAGUCCCUGGACUAAGGGGCUCAAUAAAUAUUUUUUAUUUAUUAUUUUUUCUUUUUGAGAUGGAGUCUCGCUCUCUUGACCAGGCUGGAGUACAGUGGCACAAUCUUGGCUCACUGCAGCCUUCGCCUCCUGGGUUCAAGUGAUUUCCGGCUAAUUUUUGUAUUUUUAGUAGUGACGGGGUAUCACCAUGUUGGCCAGGCUGGUCACAAACUCCUGACCUCAAGUGAUCCACCCGCCUCAGCCUCCCAACAUGCUGGGAUUAUAGACAUGAGCCACCAUGCCUGGCCAAAUAUUUGUCAAAUUGAAUUUGUAUUUCCAUACAAAUUUUAGUCUGGAUAAAGUGCUUCAUGCCUGUAAUCCAAGCACUUUGAGAGGCUGAGGCGGGUGGAUGGCUUGAGCCCAGGAGUUUGAGACCAGCAUGGAAAACAUAGAGAAACCCCAUCUCAAUAUAAGAAGAAGAAGAAAAAGAAAAAAAAA
This 1407-nucleotide long non-coding RNA is filed under the name Homo sapiens (human). RNAcentral describes it as "non-protein coding lnc-SPATA31A7-2:2". The record is from RNAcentral. Lineage: Eukaryota; Metazoa; Chordata; Mammalia; Primates; Hominidae.